UGGGGAAUAUUGGACAAUGGGCGAAAGCCUGAUCCAGCCAUGCCGCGUGUGUGAAGAAGGGCUUCGGAUUGUAAAGCACUUUAAGUUGGGAGGAAGGGCAGUAAGCGAAUACCUUGCUGUUUUGACGUUACCGACAGAAUAAGCACCGGCUAACUCUGUGCCAGCAGCCGCGGUAAUACAGAGGGUGCGAGCGUUAAUCGGAUUUACUGGGCGUAAAGCGUGCGUAGGCGGCUAAUUGAGUCGGAUGUGAAAUCCCCGAGCUUAACUUGGGAAUUGCAUUUGAUACUGGUUAGCUAGAGGGUGGGAGAGGAUGGUAGAAUUCCAGGUGUAGCGGUGAAAUGCGUAGAGAUCUUGAUGAAUACCGAUGGCGAAGGCAGCCAUCUGGCCUAACACUGACGCUGAGGUACGAAAGCAUGGGGAGCAAACAGG
Molecule: ribosomal RNA, 429 nt
Filed under: Pseudomonadota bacterium
Lineage: Bacteria; Pseudomonadati; Pseudomonadota
Description: Proteobacteria bacterium partial 16S ribosomal RNA
Rfam family: Bacterial small subunit ribosomal RNA
Source: RNAcentral